This 549-nucleotide ribosomal RNA is filed under the name uncultured bacterium. RNAcentral's name for it is "bacterial SSU rRNA". It matches the Rfam family "Bacterial small subunit ribosomal RNA", at positions 356 to 896 of the family's 1533-position model. The record is from RNAcentral.
GGGGAAUCUUCCGCAAUGGGCGCAAGCCUGACGGAGCAACGCCGCGUGAGUGAAGAAGGUCUUCGGAUCGUAAAGCUCUGUUGACGGGGACGAACGUGCGGAGUGCGAAUAGCGCUUUGUAAUGACGGUACCUGUCGAGGAAGCCACGGCUAACUACGUGCCAGCAGCCGCGGUAAUACGUAGGUGGCGAGCGUUGUCCGGAAUCAUUGGGCGUAAAGGGAGCGCAGGCGGGCCGGUAAGUCUUACUUAAAAGUGCGGGGCUCAACCCCGUGAUGGGAGAGAAACUAUCGGUCUUGAGUACAGGAGAGGAAAGCGGAAUUCCCAGUGUAGCGGUGAAAUGCGUAGAUAUUGGGAAGAACACCAGUGGCGAAGGCGGCUCUCUGGACUGCAACUGACGCUGAGGCUCGAAAGCCAGGGGAGCGAACGGGAUUAGAUACCCCGGUAGUCCUGGCCGUAAACGAUGGAUACUAGGUGUGGGAGGUAUCGACCCCUACCGUGCCGGAGUUAACGCAAUAAGUAUCCCGCCUGGGGAGUACGGCCGCAAGGCUG